CCUACGGGUGGCAGCAGUGAGGAAUAUUGGUCAAUGGGCGCGAGCCUGAACCAGCCAAGUAGCGUGAAGGAUGACGGCCCUACGGGUUGUAAACUUCUUUUAUAAAGGAAUAAAGUGCGGCACGUGUGCCUUUUUGUAUGUACCUUAUGAAUAAGGAUCGGCUAACUCCGUGCCAGCAGCCGCGGUAAUACGGAGGAUCCGAUCGUUAUCCGGAUUUAUUGGGUUUAAAGGGUGCGUAGGUGGUUUGUUAAGUCAGUUGUGAAAGUUUGCGGCUCAACCGUAGAAUUGCCAUUGAUACUGGCAGCCUAGAGUACAGUUGAGGUAGGCGGAAUGCGUGGUGUAGCGGUGAAAUGCUUAGAUAUCACGCAGAACUCCGAUUGCGAAGGCAGCUUACUAAACUGCGACUGACAUUGAUGCUCGAAAGUGUGGGUAUCAAACAGGAUUAGAUACCCUUGUAGUC
Molecule: ribosomal RNA, 460 nt
Filed under: uncultured bacterium
Lineage: Bacteria
Description: partial 16S ribosomal RNA
Rfam family: Bacterial small subunit ribosomal RNA
Source: RNAcentral